GAAUUUUGGACAAUGGGCGAAAGCCUGAUCCAGCAAUGCCGCGUGCAGGAUGAAGGACUUCGGGUUGUAAACUGCUCUUGUACGGAACGAAAAGCUUUGGGUUAAUAUCCUGUAGUCUUGACGGUACCGUGAGAAUAAGCAACGCCCACCUCCGUGCCAGCAGCCGCGGUAAUACGUAGGGUGCAAGAGUUAAUCGGAAUUUCUGGGCGUAAAGCGUGCGCAGGCGGUUUUGUAAGACAGGGGUGAAAUCCCCGGGCUCAACCUGGGAACUGCCUUUGUGACUGCAAGGCUAGAGUACGGCAGAGGGGGGUGGAAUUCCGCGUGUAGCAGUGAAAUGCGUAGAUAUGCGGAGGAACACCGAUGGCGAAGGCAACCCCCUGGGCCUGUACUGACGCUCAUGCACGAAAGCGUGGGGAGCAAACA
Molecule: ribosomal RNA, 423 nt
Filed under: uncultured bacterium
Lineage: Bacteria
Description: partial 16S ribosomal RNA
Rfam family: Bacterial small subunit ribosomal RNA
Source: RNAcentral